AGCAGUCGCCGCGGUAAUACGUAGGUGGCAAGCGUUGUCCGGAAUUAUUGGGCGUAAAGCGCACGCAGGCGGAUAGGUCAGUCUGUCUUAAAAGUUCGGGGCUUAACCCCGUGAUGGGAUGGAAACUGCCAAUCUAGAGUAUCGGAGAGGAAAGUGGAAUUCCUAGUGUAGCGGUGAAAUGCGUAGAUAUUAGGAAGAACACCAGUGGCGAAGGCGACUUUCUGGACGAAAACUGACGCUGAGGCGCGAAAGCCAGGGGAGCGAACGGGAUUAGAGACCCCAGUAGUCCCUGUCUCUUAUACA
This 303-nucleotide ribosomal RNA is filed under the name uncultured bacterium. RNAcentral describes it as "partial 16S ribosomal RNA". It matches the Rfam family "Bacterial small subunit ribosomal RNA", at positions 507 to 809 of the family's 1533-position model. The record is from RNAcentral.